RNAcentral lists this ribosomal RNA (262 nucleotides) under uncultured bacterium. RNAcentral describes it as "partial 16S ribosomal RNA". It matches the Rfam family "Bacterial small subunit ribosomal RNA", at positions 542 to 803 of the family's 1533-position model. The record is from RNAcentral.
UGUCCGGAUUUACUGGGUGUAAAGGGUGCGUAGGCGGCUUUGCAAGUCAGAUGUGAAAUCUAUGGGCUCAACCCAUAAACUGCAUUUGAAACUGUAGAGCUUGAGUGAAGUAGAGGCAGGCGGAAUUCCCCGUGUAGCGGUGAAAUGCGUAGAGAUGGGGAGGAACACCAGUGGCGAAGGCGGCCUGCUGGGCUUUAACUGACGCUGAGGCACGAAAGCGUGGGUAGCAGACAGGAUUAGAUACCCUGGUAGUCCACGCUGU